GUUCCACUGUCCACAGGACGUUGCUCACAGAAGAAGCCGCAGACCCGAUCCCGGUCGGCUGGCUGUGCAGACGUGCUCCCUCAGCAGGUAAGCACCUAUUGGGAAGGAGCACAGUAAACCCUAGAAACCAGCGAGGGGCACCAAGUCCACCGGGGCGAGGAACACACGGAGAGUCCAAACAGAAGGUUAGUUCACUCUUGGAAGCAGUAUCAGACCAACUCCUUGUCAGCCAUAGGACGCUACUUCAAAGAAAGAAGGUGCACAAAAAAACAAGAUGCUUUUGUUUGUUGGUUUGUUUUUCCUCAAAUGGCUGUUGAAUUUAUUUGAUCAAUAACGGUCCUGGCAAAAAUUAGUUAACGAAUGCGGAGACAGUUGUAAUGAAAUACUAAUUUUAAAAAUCCAUGACACCUUGAUAGAAAUUAGAGUUUACACAAAAAAGAAACCUUCGAUAUUGCCAGUAAAUAUAAAAUAAAUGUAAUAUGACCGACAGGACAGCAAGAAGGCUUUUAUACGUUUAUAUUUGACACCUGACCAUAUUUUCAGUCACCAUAAUAUCUUCUCUCCAGAUUUAAAAAAAUAGUAUGCUGAUUUCUAUAACAAAGCUUUUUUUCGUACAAAAAUCAAACAAUGGCCAACAAGUCACAACAGUGCAAUAGGUAGAGAAUAAAAAACCGCAUCAAACAGGUGCUGAAAAUAAAUAGUAACUAGGAGAGGACAGAGCCCUCGUGGGGGGUUUGUUUCCAUCACCUUGAGUGCGUGGGGUUUAUCUUCACAGCCAUGAGAGCUGACCUACCUCACGGGUGCCAUUUAUUCAGACAGAGCAUGACUGAACAAAGGUGCCCGAGAGCUGACCUCCCAGAUGCCUCAGUCACCGGAGAAGUUACAGAAGCAAGAAAACGGGGUCGGGGAAUCACAGCUAUCAUUUAAAGGAAAAGUUUUUUUCUAUUGCUCAAUCUUGUCAAUUGGGAGUCCGUCAACAGGUUCACUGAGAUCAUAGGAUACGGGUAAUUGAACACUUUUGUUUAAGAGCAUAUAUGGCUUAUUCAGGCAGAGAGACUUUUACAUUCCAGCCCAAGCAAGCAAUCUAAGUCAUCCUGUGUUUAAUGGAAGAUCAGUCACACGAGAAGAUCUCCGGGUUAAGGAACCGGUCCUCUGUGUGGAGGCCUCAGGUCAGGCGGCUACCUCCGACCAACCCACUGAAAAGCAUGUGAUCACCGGCAGCGAGGAGCCCGCAGGAGCCUGGCGGCUGCUCCUACACGGGGGCCACGCUGCCCCGGGGCCAGCGGGCGGGCUCCACUGGCAGCUCUGUGACAGGUCAGGGCCAUCCGGUGACUCAGGUUCAUGGACUGGUUUAGGGCCGUCAAAGGAGAGGGUGACAAGGGUGGGCAAAGGUAACCUCAGUAACAGCCAUUCUGGCCAGUCAGGAAAUCUGAGGCAGCUCCCCAUUAUAGAAUCUGCACCGAGAAGGUGUAAAAGGCACAAGCAAGAGUGACUAGUAAGCAGAGAUCCCGGAGGGUGACACUACGGGGCAAUCCACAAGGCAGGAACAGGAUUUACCUUGUUUGGCUCCACCCCCCCACCCCCACCCCACCCCCCCACCGAGAGAAAGAGAUCCUGAUUCUGCUGUAAUAAAAAAGCAAAGAAAGACGAUUUUUGGUUUAAAAAGAAGCCACUCAAGGGUUAAAACAGUUUUAAGUUAACAAGGAAAAUUAAUCUUCAAAUAAGCUGACACUAUCUGGAAAACUCAUCUGUCCCCUACAAGCCCACAAUGCGUGCACUGCUUUGUCCUCCCGUGUAACCUGAGCCUGACGCGGAGAAGUCAUACGUGUGAGAGAAGAAAGAGUCUGAGGAGAAAAGACAUCUUUACAGAAUGUACAGCACAGAGUUGUGCACUCUGACUCUCGGGAUUACAGUAAGAUGCACGGGUCUCGUUGGGUCUGGGCUGCUCAGAUGGGCGUCUCCUUCCUGUCUCUGCUCGGUGACGGCUUGGCCUGCUCCUUAGCCGCUUUCGUCUCCGGGGCGCCGUCUCUGGGCGGCUGGCCGGCCCCUCGCCUCUCGGGCUCCUCGUCGUCCUGCCCUGGCGGCUCGGGCUUGGCUCGCUGCAGCUGAAGCAGGCGGAGCUGCACCCGCAGCUCGACGAUGGCCUCUCGCUCUUCGUGAAUUGCUUGAUUCAAAUGAUUGUUCUUUAUCUUGAGGAACGACAAAAGAACAGUCGUCACUUAGGCAAGAAGGUCCAAAGGAACAGAUUCAGGAAUAGAGAACAGUUAGCAAGGGUGUGCUACACAGCAAUCUAUUCUGUUUUAGUCAACUCAGCUGUGAGACUGGAGACAGGAACACGGAUGCGCAAAUGAGACACGUCAACACCUCGACCCCGAAUGCACAAAAUUCAAGAACGAAACUGCUGCUAAUUACAGAAGAGUGAACACAUCUGGAAAACAUAAAUGUACCAAGAGAAAACAGUUCGCUUAAUAAUAAUAAAUAUUUCAGUGUUUCAAGUACGUGUAUGUUUUGAACUGGCUCCUGACUAGCCCUUAAGUAAGCAGAAGAUGAGAGGGACUUGACCAGCAAUUAGAGGGGGACGUCAGAGACAGGAUCAAAUCCCAGAUCUAUCUCAAAAUGAACGUCCUUUGUCUUUUGUGAAUGGCAUUUCUUUACACCCGAACUGUGCUACUGAAGCAAACUACAGAAAACUAUCAGUUCUAGAUUAUCUGCCUGCAUUCAGCAAAGUCGAGGUAGCGAGGCAGUAGCUAAUCCCAGAAUCCUACAAACCUCCCUCGGUAGCAGGCUACUUACUGGCCGCACGGCGCACCCUCUCCUCUCUGUGCUGUGGCAUUUCUACGCAGCCUGCGUUUCCCAGGCUCCCUUGCGGCUACCUACAGCCACGUGACUGUGCCUUUGCUAACAAGGUAUGAGCGGAGGCCCUUAACCACCAGGCAUCCUUGGAUUCCUUCCCCCUUCCUGCUGAGAGUGGGCAAGACCUAAGGCCACUCUGGACCCCAAAUGUUUUCCACGUGGGGGGAGGGCUUCCCGUGUGGAGGGUGGCAGACGUGCAUGUCUGCCAGGCGAGGGACAUAACCGUCUUGUUCAAACCGCGAGAGUAUCCUCUCUUACAGCGGCUACACCUAGAUCCCAAGUACUGCAAUUCUGGAAUAGAUCUUCCUACUUAGGAUUUUCACGUGGUCUGCCAAGUGUUAGGAAAGCAAACUAAAGUGCCAACGGGAGGCCCUUGUAAAGAAGGGAAGCCACCUGGUGGCCCAGGCCUCAACCGCUGCUCUGCUUCUCCCACGACACACCCGUGGCCAUAGCCAGUGUCCUGGGACGUGGACCUUGGUGGGCAGCCCCUCUGAACUCUGUCCACGGGACUUCUGUGGGCGGCAGUUUUGUGCGGGAUUCUAUUUUCUAUGCAGUGAGAGGCUGAUUUGCCCCAGCAGCUGAGUGCAUCGGGACGAGGGAAAGCAAGCCGUCGCCCUGUUCUUAGAGCAAGACGAGAACGGCUCUCCUCUCUCAACCCCUGAGGUACAUCUGGAGACAAUGAUUAAUCUGGGGAGAGUCAGGAGGCUUUUCGACCUCUUCCACCAGCAUUGCUCUUUCUGCUCAUCUCUGGGAACUGAGCCCAGAUCUUUCGCAGUGGUUCGAGGGCAGUCGGGGCAGCCGCCACAGCCCAAGUACGCCCGCUGAGGCCACACUGUGCGGCGCGCCCGGCUGGCUCCGGUGAGACGUCCCCUCAACUCUCUCCUCAGCCUCCCGCUCGUUCCCACAGAAAGGAAGACCGCUUCUAAGGGAAACUUUCUGGAAGCCGGUGCUCACUUCUAGCUCCUCGUUCUGCCUCUGGAGGUCCUCCAGGAUGAUCUGCAGCUCCUCCUCGUCCUCGCUCUCGCUCUCGCUGUCGGAGGAGUACUCCUCGGUCUCGCUGCGGCCGUGCUGCUGGCGGCUGCGGGUGGGAGGCCGAGAGAGCCGGUGAGCAGAGGGGCGCGCACCGCUGCCCUCCCGCCCUUCCUUCCCCUUCACCAGCGCUCCACGGGUGUACUCAGUGGAGCCACUUAGGAAGAAACGGUAAAGCUGACUGGUUCGGAUGCCCAGUUCUUUUGCGUGGAAGUCUGAGAGUUGAAACAACCACGUGCAUUUUUCAGUAAACAUUCUUGCGAACUUAAAACUAAGACCUUCUGCUUUCCUCUACCUCUGAAUUUCAGCAAUCUCAGCUCUGAGGCGUUCGAUCUCUUCUUUUUCGGAGGCGAUCUGUCGGCGCAGAAACUGCUCCAUGGCUAGAAGCUCCUCCUGUUCAGUCAGGAUCUCGUUCUCCUGAAAUAAUGACCACUGGUGAGCACCUUGGAGAGUAUGAGUCUAGGGAAUGUCCCCUUUUUGGGGUCUCCUAUGUUGCCUUAAAUUCUUUAGCCCCAUACGUAACACAAGUUAUGGGAAAGCUUGUACCACAAAGCUUAUAAUCCUGUUUCCCUAACUAAUGUCAUGGAAAGGCUGAGAAAAAGUAGACUAAGUUAUUUGGGAGGAAUAUCUAGAUUUUUCCCAAGACAAAAAAUGCCACCUCAGAAUCCCCUGUCCUCAAUUUGCAAAGGCUCCCGAUGAACCAGUACCCUGGGCACAAAGGUCAAGUGACUGUUUUUGAUUCCCAGUCCCUCCUGAAUGCCUUUCUACUUCUCAGUAAGGACCUCUCUUAUCUAUUUCGGGGUCAAGAUAGAACUAGGAAAAGAAGGACCCAGGAGAUACACAGCUGGUGUAUUACCUUAAAGCAAAUCCUAGUAAAGGGAAAACAUUCCCAGAUGAAAUCUUUCCUCCUCACCAAAAUCCACUGUCCUCCUCAACCCAUGUCCCCAGAGAUGAUAAACAGUAAAUAUUCUGCUUUCACAGAUAUGCAUUUCUAAAACUGGAUCACCAAAGGGAAGCUAACCCCUCCAACCUAUGAGUCUAGAAAUGAGUCUAGAAAAGAACCAAAGCAGACAAAAUUUCAGAGGCAGAAACGUCAGGCUAUGGAAAACAAGGAGUCGGAGGCAAGGGUCUACAGCAUUUCCUUCUCAGCUUCUAGGUAUUGAAAGGAUAAGCACCUGUGUUUGAACCUGAACGCCACUGGGGUCAAAUUCUGGAGGGAAGUACUCAAAGCCUCCAGCAAGCAGGAGCAAGCGCUCAGAGAUGUAAUAUGCAGCGUUCCCUCCCCAUGUGUUUCUAAACACAGAUGCUUUCCCUUUACCCCA
Lynx canadensis (Canada lynx) is the source of this 5204-nucleotide long non-coding RNA. RefSeq lists it as uncharacterized. The transcript has 3 exons. The record is from RefSeq and is a predicted model, not a curated record. Lineage: Eukaryota; Metazoa; Chordata; Mammalia; Carnivora; Felidae.